RNAcentral lists this ribosomal RNA (1215 nucleotides) under Triticum aestivum (bread wheat). RNAcentral's name for it is "partial small subunit ribosomal RNA". Lineage: Eukaryota; Viridiplantae; Streptophyta; Magnoliopsida; Poales; Poaceae. The record is from RNAcentral.
AUGGACCGCAUCGUCGGCCGCAAGUUCAAGCUCGGCCGGAAGAUCGGCUCCGGCUCCUUCGGGGUCAUCUACCUCGCCACGGAUAUGGACACCUACGAGAUCGUCGCGGUGAAGAUUGAAAGUAGCACCUCGAAGCAUCCCCAGCUGUUUUAUGAGGCAAAGAUCUACAACGCCCUGCAAGGAGGAAGUGGCAUUGCGAAUGUUAAAUGGUGUGGUGUGGAUGGGGAGGAAAAUGUUCUUAUCAUUGAUCUGUUGGGCCCGAGCUUAGAAGAUUUGUUUGUCUACUGCGGCAGAAAAUUCACCUUGAAGACUGUCCUAAUGCUUGCAGACCAAAUGCUUACAAGGAUAGAAUUUAUGCAUUCCAAAGGAUACUUGCAUAGAGACAUAAAACCUGACAAUUUCCUAAUGGGUCUUGGCCGGAAGGCAAAUCAGGUCUAUGUAAUUGAUUUUGGGCUUGCAAAAAGAUACCGUGAUUCUACUACGAAUCGACAUAUUCCUUACAGGGAACAUAAGAACUUAACUGGCACUGCACGUUAUGCAAGUAGCAACACUCACCUUGGAAUUGAGCAAAGUCGACGGGAUGAUUUGGAAUCUCUUGGCUAUGUUCUCCUAUAUUUUCUCCGAGGAAGUCUUCCCUGGCAGGGACUAAAAGCUGCAACGAAAAAGCAGAAGUAUGAGAAGAUAUGUGAGAAAAAGAUUUCAACACCUAUCGAGGUGUUAUGCAAAUCCUGUCCAGUAGAAUUUGCAUCUUACUUCCACUACUGCAAGUCAUUGACAUUUGAUCAGCGGCCUGAUUAUGGAUUCGUGAAGCGCCUUUUUCGAGACUUAUUCGACCGCCAAGGUUAUGAUUUUGAUUAUGUCUUUGACUGGACUGUUUUGAAAUAUAAACAAGGCCAAAAGACCCAGCAUGUUCCUGGGGCAACUAUUACUCGAGCAAUCCCAACACAUCUUGACAAACGAGCGGGUGUAAAUGGGGAUGUCCAUCCAAAUGAAGCCCAUGAACAGAUGGAGUCAAGCCAUAUGACCGGGUCAGCUGCACAGUUACAGAGGCAAAAUAUGGCUGCCAGUGCCAGAAAUGAAAACCCGAAGAAUGAUGGGAAUUCAAGACAUAUAGUGCGUAUUGACGCUUUUCAUCAAAAUCAGGGUUUUGACAGCAAUACUGGCUCUCCUAGCGCUUGUUUUCCGACACUUCCGCACAAUGCCCCAGCAAGGUGA